RNAcentral lists this ribosomal RNA (373 nucleotides) under uncultured organism. Its description in RNAcentral is "partial 16S ribosomal RNA". It matches the Rfam family "Bacterial small subunit ribosomal RNA", at positions 527 to 896 of the family's 1533-position model. The record is from RNAcentral.
GUAGGUGGCAAGCGUUGUCCGGAAUUAUUGGCGUAAAGCGCGCGCAGGCGGUUCGUUUAAGUCUGAUGUGAAAGCCCACGGGCUCAACCGUGGAGGGUCAUUGGAAACUGGAGAACUUGAGUACAGAAGAGGAAAGCGGAAUUCCACGUGUAGCGGUGAAAUGCGUAGAGAUGUGGAGGAACACCAGUGGCGAAGGCGGCUUUCUGGUCUGUAACUGACGCUGAGGCGCGAAAGCGUGGGGAGCAAACAGGAUUAGAUACCCUGGUAGUCCACGCCGUAAACGAUGAGUGCUAAGUGUUAGGGGGGUUUCCGCCCCUUAGUGCUGCAGCUAACGCAUUAAGCACUCCGCCUGGGGAGUACGGCCGCAAGGCUG